AUCGCUUCUCGGCCUUUUGGCUAAGAUCAAGUGUAGUAUCUGCAUUUGGUCUGGUCGGAAGGUGUCUGUGGUACCCCGCUUCUCGGCCUUGGGGGAUUGUCUCUCCUUACGAGGACUUCACCCCCUUGCUGCUAUUGGGGAGCGGGCUUAGUCCACAGACAACGGGUUGCGAUCCCCCUGUCUCUGGGACCCUUU
Hyla sarda is the source of this 195-nucleotide small nuclear RNA. RefSeq annotates it as U2 spliceosomal RNA. Lineage: Eukaryota; Metazoa; Chordata; Amphibia; Anura; Hylidae. The record is from RefSeq and is a predicted model, not a curated record. The transcript has a single exon.